Molecule: ribosomal RNA, 515 nt
Filed under: uncultured bacterium
Lineage: Bacteria
Description: bacterial SSU rRNA
Rfam family: Bacterial small subunit ribosomal RNA
Source: RNAcentral
AACUUAGCAGAGAUGCUUUGGUGCCUUCGGGAACUCUGAGACAGGUGCUGCAUGGCUGUCGUCAGCUCGUGUUGUGAAAUGUUGGGUUAAGUCCCGCAACGAGCGCAACCCUUAUCCUUUGUUGCCAGCGAUUCGGUCGGGAACUCAAAGGAGACUGCCAGUGAUAAACUGGAGGAAGGUGGGGAUGACGUCAAGUCAUCAUGGCCCUUACGAGUAGGGCUACACACGUGCUACAAUGGCAUAUACAAAGAGAAGCGACCUCGCGAGAGCAAGCGGACCUCAUAAAGUAUGUCGUAGUCCGGAUUGGAGUCUGCAACUCGACUCCAUGAAGUCGGAAUCGCUAGUAAUCGUGGAUCAGAAUGCCACGGUGAAUACGUUCCCGGGCCUUGUACACACCGCCCGUCACACCAUGGGAGUGGGUUGCAAAAGAAGUAGGUAGCUUAACCUUCGGGAGGGCGCUUACCACUUUGUGAUUCAUGACUGGGGUGAAGUCGUAACAAGGUAAGCGUAGACGU